UACGGAGGGUGCAAGCGUUGUCCGGAUUUAUUGGGUUUAAAGGGUGCGUAGGCGGCUAUUUAAGUCAGUGGUGAAAUCCUGCAGCUUAACUGUAGAAUUGCCAUCGAUACUGGAUAGCUUGAGUACAGACGAGGUAGGCGGAAUUUAUGGUGUAGCGGUGAAAUGCAUAGAUACCAUAAAGAACACCUAUUGCGAAGGCAGCUUACUAGGCUGUAACUGACACUGAGGCACGAAAGUGUGGGGAUCAAACAGG
Molecule: ribosomal RNA, 253 nt
Filed under: uncultured bacterium
Lineage: Bacteria
Description: partial 16S ribosomal RNA
Rfam family: Bacterial small subunit ribosomal RNA
Source: RNAcentral